RNAcentral lists this ribosomal RNA (468 nucleotides) under uncultured bacterium. RNAcentral's name for it is "partial 16S ribosomal RNA". It matches the Rfam family "Bacterial small subunit ribosomal RNA", at positions 28 to 507 of the family's 1533-position model. The record is from RNAcentral.
GACGAACGCUGGCGGCGUGCUUAACACAUGCAAGUCGAACGGAAAGGCCCUGCUUUUGUGGGGUGCUCGAGUGGCGAACGGGUGAGUAACACGUGAGUAACCUGCCCUUGACUUUGGGAUAACUUCAGGAAACUGGGGCUAAUACCGGAUAGGAGCUCCUGCUGCAUGGUGGGGGUUGGAAAGUUUCGGCGGUUGGGGAUGGACUCGCGGCUUAUCAGCUUGUUGGUGGGGUAGUGGCUUACCAAGGCUUUGACGGGUAGCCGGCCUGAGAGGGUGACCGGCCACAUUGCGACUGAGAUACGGCCCAGACUCCUACGGGAGGCAGCAGUGGGGAAUAUUGCACAAUGGGCGGAAGCCUGAUGCAGCAACGCCGCGUGCGGGAUGACGGCCUUCGGGUUGUAAACCGCCUUCGCCUGUGACGAAGCGUGAGUGACGGUAAUGGGUAAAGAAGCACCGGCUAACUACGUG